UUGCCUAAGAAAAUUAUUUCCCUGGAAGAACAUAAUCCAUUUCCCACAGUGUUCAGGCUAGAAAAUUUUUCCACCAUGAGUUCCUUAAUAUUUGAGUCCCAAGAGAGACUGCGAAAGGAAAAGUCUGAGAAACUGGAUAUUUAUCACCCCUUUGGAGAUUCCCAAUGCUUCCUAAUGUAGUGAAAGCUCAGAAAAGACUUGCAGAAUGAAGUGGCUUUAACUCAAUUUAACCUAGCAUCUCCCAAGCUUAUUUGAACAUGGGACACUUUAAAAAAUGUAACCCCAUCCUGUGAAACCGGUGCCUGGUGGAAACUUUGAGGGACACAAGGAACUAUUACAUGCCCUGAGAUACAGAAGCACGCAAGACCAACAAGAUCCAUGAGCUUACAUUUGAAGGCAAAGAAAGCUGGAAAAUCUUAUGAAAUCAAUACCAGGAGGAAGGAGAAGACCUGUGAUCUGUUUCUUUCCCUUUAUGAGGAGAUGGUGUACAUGCCCAAGAAGGAGAGAAGAUAGGAGGCCAGGCACAGUAUCCUUGUGAACAUAUCUCUCCCCUGUGAGAAACCAGCCACCAUGUUGUAAGCAGCCCUGUGGCGAGACCCACAUGAGGAAGACCAGGGCUUGCCAACAUCCUCUGAAUGCACGUGGAAACAGAUCUCUGUCCCUCCCCUCAAGGCCCAGCUGUGCAUCCAAAUGAGAUCACAGCCUUUGUUGACAGCUUGACAGUCUCCUCAUGAGCCAGAGAAAUCAGCUAGUGGAAUGUAAAGAUUGUGGAUGGUCAUCCUUGACCUCGUGGACAAAGGCCAUACCUUAAGGAUGACAAAGAAAAAAGCAUGGAAGGAGCCUGUGUGCCCGACACUAUUGGCCUGCCCCUCAGGACUGGGGACCACCUUGAAUGUUUAGUAAAAUCAGGGAGACAAGGAGAAAAGAAUGAGUGUUAGAAGCAAUUUGCUGGAUGCUUCGACAAAAGCAGCAACAUGAACCCAAUUAAAAAGAAAAAGUAAGCAUAGAAUUUAUUUCUAUUCUAAUAGAUCAAAGCUAACUCCAACUUGAUUUUUUAAAAUAAAAAAUAUGUUGGUAAAGGUGUGUAAAAAUUGAAACCCUUGUUCAUUGCUGGGGAGAACAUAAAAUGAUGCAGUUGCUCUGGGAAACACUAUGGUGUUUCCUCAAAAAUUAAACAUUGAAUUAUUAUAUGAUCCAGCAAUUCCACUCCUGGUUAUACACCUCAAAUAAUUGAAAGCAGGAACUCAAACAGAUAUUUGUGCACCCAUGUUCCUAGCAUCUUUCUUUACAAUUGCCAAGUGGUAGAAAGAACCCAAAUGUCCAUCAACAGAUGAAUGAAUAAACAAAAUGUGGUGAAUACAUACAAUGAGGUAUGAAAAAAAAUGGAAUUUGGAUAUAUGCCACAACCUAAGUGAAACUUGAAGACAUUAUGCCAAGUGAAAAAGCCAGACAUAAAAUAACAAAUAUUCUAUGACUCCAUUUACUUGAGGUAUCUAAGGUAGUCAAAUUCACAGAGACUGAAAAUGAAUGGGGGGUGCCAGGGACUGAAGGGAAUGAGGAUGAAAGGUCAUCCUUUAAUGGGUAUAGAGUUUCAAUUUGGGAUUCUGGAGAGAUUGGUGGUUAUGGUUGCACAACAAUGUGAAUGGACUUAAUGUCAUUAAAUUCAACACCUAAAAUGGUUAAAAUGGCAAAUUUUAUGUUUUGUGUUAAUAUAUUUUAGCAUAAAAAAAAUUAUUUGUUUUCCCUCCCCCUAAGUAAAAUUCUAAAUCUUUGAGUAUCAUAGGCUUCUAGUUUGCAUUUAAUUUGCCUUUGUUUAUUGGAGCAUACUAGAAACUCAGGACUACAUGUACUAAUUUAACCUAUUCCUCCUUUACAAGGAGGAAUUGGGGCCUAGGUUUUGUAGUCCACUUUCAGUGGACACUUUUGGGGGAAUAUAAUAUAAAAAAUAUGUGUUACAGUAAUAAUCUCAUUAUAAUAAUGUAGCAGUUCACCAACCUAAGUAAGAAAUAAAUGUAAAUUUAUUUUUCUAUAACUAAAUUUUACUUUUGUAUGCUAAUAUUCUGGGGUCUAUAAAAACUUAAUUUCAACUUCCUUGGUCUUCUAUUUUUCUCUCUGAUUCCAUCAUAUUUCUGGGAGACUUAAACUAUGCCAAAGACCUGGAAGGAGGGGCGACAUUUGGUCUUAGCUGCCAUCUGUCCAUGAUUGUAUCCACUGAGGUGUCAUUGAACCCACCUGGUCCUUGGCCAAUGGUCUAUAAAAGUCACUGCUGAGUCAUCCUCUGCCCCUGCUCUCCAGGCCUCCUCAGGUUCAGGCUGCUGUUGCUGGUCUUUUGCUAGCCCUCGAGCAGGCACACAGUCAUCCACUUCCAAGCCACUCCAGGACCCUGGCAACCUGUGAGGCUGGCCAUUCCUGGGCACAAGGCUCUGUUUACCUAGACACACCUUUAUAGGACUCAGGCUGGAUGGUGAGAUCAGGCCACCUCCACCUCACAAUGUUACAUGGGGUUCAAACACCUCUUAGUGUGACAUACAGGAAAAGUGGUGUGGAGUCAUGGGCAUGAUGUUUACUUCUCUCUGCCCUCUUUGAUUUUGUUAAGCCCUUUAUUUCUACCAUGAAAUAUCUGCCUGGGAGACCUAAGAAGUGACACAUGAGAUAGGCAAGAAUGUUACCCAGUACUGAAGCAUAUGAAAUCCUUCUCAGACAGGCUGGGGCAAAUAACA
Long non-coding RNA from Homo sapiens (human), 2720 nucleotides. RefSeq lists it as uncharacterized. The record is from RefSeq and is a predicted model, not a curated record. Lineage: Eukaryota; Metazoa; Chordata; Mammalia; Primates; Hominidae. The transcript is spliced from 6 exons.